GGCUCAUUAGCUUAGUUGGUUAGAGCAUUGUGCUAAUAACUUAAAAGUCACAGGUUUGCUUCUUGCCUGGACCA
Molecule: non-coding RNA, 74 nt
Organism: Glycine max (soybean)
Lineage: Eukaryota; Viridiplantae; Streptophyta; Magnoliopsida; Fabales; Fabaceae
Source: Rfam